GGAGAAGAAUGUAGAAGAUGAGAUAUUGGGGUUGGUUGAAGAUACAGAUUUCUUGGUCCUUGCUAGAUACAUGCAGGUGUUGUCUGGAAACUUUUUGAAAAGAUAUGGGAAGGAUGUGAUCAACAUACAUCAUGGCUUAUUGCCAUCAUUCAAAGGAGGAAAUCCAUCUAGGCAGGCAGGUUCUGUGUUCCAAUUUCCAAAUUCUGUUUUAAGCUUUUUAUGUUUUUAUGUUUUUUACUGGAGAAUGACAGGCUUUUGAAGCUGGGAUCAAAUUGAUUGGUGCCACAACCCAUUUUGUCACGGAGGAGCUUUAUGGGGGCCCAAUCAUUGAGCAGAUGGUUGAGAGAGUCUCGCACAAGGAUAAUUUGCUGAGUUUUAUUUAGAAAUCUGAGAAUCUUGAAAAACAAUGCCUUAUGAAGGCAAUCAAGUCAUAUUGUGAGUUACGCGUUCUACCUUAUCAACACAACAGGACUGUUGUAUUUUGAGUAAGCUCAAAAUGAUGCUGAUCAAAACUACAGAGUCCAUUAUAUUCCUUGUGUUGCAAAGUUUUUGUAUUUCAUUUUAAUUAUUCAUUCUAAUUUAAU
Molecule: non-coding RNA, 584 nt
Organism: Lactuca sativa (garden lettuce)
Lineage: Eukaryota; Viridiplantae; Streptophyta; Magnoliopsida; Asterales; Asteraceae
Source: RefSeq, a predicted model, not a curated record